RNAcentral lists this ribosomal RNA (495 nucleotides) under uncultured bacterium. RNAcentral's name for it is "partial 16S ribosomal RNA". It matches the Rfam family "Bacterial small subunit ribosomal RNA", at positions 28 to 508 of the family's 1533-position model. The record is from RNAcentral.
GACGAACGCUGGCGGCGUGCUUAACACAUGCAAGUCGAACGGUGAAGCGCCUUCCUUUUUGGUGGGUGUGGAUGAGUGGCGAACGGGUGAGUAACACGUGAGUAACCUGCCCCCUUCUUCUGGAUAACCGCAUGAAAGUGUGGCUAAUACGGGAUAUUCUGGGUCUGUCGCAUGAUGGGUCUGGGAAAGAUAUUGUUUCGGUGGGGGAUGGGCUCGCGGCCUAUCAGCUUGUUGGUGGGGUGAUGGCCUGCCAAGGCGGUGACGGGUAGCCGGCCUGAGAGGGUGGACGGUCACACUGGGACUGAGACACGGCCCAGACUCCUACGGGAGGCAGCAGUGGGGAAUAUUGCACAAUGGGCGCAAGCCUGAUGCAGCGACGCCGCGUGAGGGAUGGAGGCCUUCGGGUUGUGAACCUCUUUCGCCAGUGAAGCAGGCCUGCCUCGUUUGUGGGUGGGUUGACGGUAGCUGGAUAAGAAGCGCCGGCUAACUACGUGC